UACAGAGGUCUCAAGCGUUGUUCGGAUUCAUUGGGCGUAAAGGGUGUGUAGGUGGCACGCUAAGUCGGGUGUGAAAUUUCGGAGCUUAACUCCGAAACUGCAUUCGAUACUGGCGUGCUUGAGGACUGGAGAGGAGACUGGAAUUCAUGGUGUAGCAGUGAAAUGCAUAGAGAUCAUGAGGAAGACCAGUGGCGAAGGCGGGUCUCUGGACAGUUCCUGACACUGAGACACGAAGGCCAGGGGAGCAAACGGG
RNAcentral lists this ribosomal RNA (253 nucleotides) under uncultured bacterium. RNAcentral's name for it is "partial 16S ribosomal RNA". It matches the Rfam family "Bacterial small subunit ribosomal RNA", at positions 524 to 776 of the family's 1533-position model. The record is from RNAcentral.